AUUGAACGCUGGCGGCAGGCCUAACACAUGCAAGUCGAGCGGAUGAAGGGAGCUUGCUCCUGGAUUCAGCGGCGGACGGGUGAGUAAUUCCUAGGAAUCUGCCUGGUAUUGGGGGAUAACGUCCGGAAACGGGCGCUAAUACCGCAUACGUCCUGAGGGAGAAAGUGGGGGAUCUUCGGACCUCACGCUAUCAGAUGAGCCUAGGUCGGAUUAGCUAGUUGGUGGGGUAAAGGCCUACCAAGGCGACGAUCCGUAACUGGUCUGAGAGGAUGAUCAGUCACACUGGAACUGAGACACGGUCCAGACUCCUACGGGAGGCAGCAGUGGGGAAUAUUGGACAAUGGGCGAAAGCCUGAUCCAGCCAUGCCGCGUGUGUGAAGAAGGUCUUCGGAUUGUAAAGCACUUUAAGUUGGGAGGAAGGGCAGUAAGUUAAUACCUUGCUGUUUUGACGUUACCAACAGAAUAAGCACCGGCUAACUUCGUG
Molecule: ribosomal RNA, 484 nt
Filed under: uncultured bacterium
Lineage: Bacteria
Description: partial 16S ribosomal RNA
Rfam family: Bacterial small subunit ribosomal RNA
Source: RNAcentral